UACAUUUGUUUUUUAGUAUAGUUUUAUUAGAAAAAAAUUAAGCCCUCUCAUCGGUUGCUCCACAUAGAGAUGAAUCUUUUGUCAAUAUUUAAUUUAGUUCUGUAAAUCUGUAUCAUUGUUAUUGUGCUCCAGGAAAAGACUGACUGUAACAGACUGUGCAUGUGUUUUUUAUUUUUAUUUUUAUUUAUUUUUUUUAUACAGAAUCAGUUCAACUAACUGAGUGUCACAAUCAAACACAAUGGCAGAUUAUUAUUAUGAUAUCUGGUCUGAUGAACGGACUUCUGCUCAUUCUGCUGAUCAUUUUCACCGCUAGAAAAGCAGAAUGGUUGGAAAAAUCUGUUUAUAAUGCUGAUCUGCAGACAAAAGUUACAUAUCGGCUUCAAGAUGCAAAACUAUUGCAAGUACAAUAAGUGCGCCAAGGUGAAGAACUAUUCAUCUGAAUAUUGAAUAUUUGAAUGAAAUGUAAUAUUUCCACCAUUACUGGACAGUGAACAAGAUACGGUUUAUGAGUUAAAUAUGCAUUAAGCCUCACUGUCAGAUUAAUUGGAAUUCCUUUAUCAAGUAUGAUGUAAAGUUUUUGAUCUGGUUCAUUCACAUUUAGCCAUUAAAAUGUUUUUGUAUGCAACAAUAAAUCAAUUGAAAAAGAAGUCAAAGGCUGCUAGACCUUAUACAGUAGUGAAUAGCAAUUUACCAAUGUACUUCUGCUUACUUUGUUAACUAUUUCAGAAAUAAAAACAUAUUGUUUUUAUAUAAUUUUGUAUUUAGGAAAAAGUGUAUUGUAUUUAUCCCUUGCUAAA
Long non-coding RNA from Cyprinus carpio (common carp), 797 nucleotides. RefSeq lists it as uncharacterized. The record is from RefSeq and is a predicted model, not a curated record. NCBI's taxonomy places the organism in Eukaryota, Metazoa, Chordata, Actinopteri, Cypriniformes, Cyprinidae. The transcript is spliced from 3 exons.